UCAGUCUUGCAACUGUUUGCCUUCGCUCC
RNAcentral lists this non-coding RNA (29 nucleotides) under Mus musculus (house mouse). The record is from RNAcentral. Lineage: Eukaryota; Metazoa; Chordata; Mammalia; Rodentia; Muridae.